AGUGAACGCUGGCGGUAGGCCUAACACAUGCAAGUCGAACGGCAGCACAGUAAGAGCUUGCUCUUACGGGUGGCGAGUGGCGGACGGGUGAGGAAUACAUCGGAAUCUACUUUUUCGUGGGGGAUAACGUAGGGAAACUUACGCUAAUACCGCAUACGACCUACGGGUGAAAGCAGGGGAUCUUCGGACCUUGCGCGAUUGAAUGAGCCGAUGUCGGAUUAGCUAGUUGGCGGGGUAAAGGCCCACCAAGGCGACGAUCCGUAGCUGGUCUGAGAGGAUGAUCCGCCACACUGGAACUGAGACACGGUCCAGACUCCUACGGGAGGCAGCAGUGGGGAAUAUUGGGCAAUGGGCGCAAGCCUGAUCCAGCCAUACCGCGUGAGUGAAGAAGGCCUUCGGGUUGUAAAGCCCUUUUGUUGGGAAAGAAAAGCAGCAUGUUAAUACCCCGCUGUUCUGACGGUACCCAAAGAAUAAGCACCGGCUAACUUCGUG
RNAcentral lists this ribosomal RNA (492 nucleotides) under uncultured bacterium. RNAcentral's name for it is "partial 16S ribosomal RNA". It matches the Rfam family "Bacterial small subunit ribosomal RNA", at positions 29 to 507 of the family's 1533-position model. The record is from RNAcentral.